Teleopsis dalmanni is the source of this 543-nucleotide long non-coding RNA. RefSeq lists it as uncharacterized. NCBI's taxonomy places the organism in Eukaryota, Metazoa, Arthropoda, Insecta, Diptera, Diopsidae. The record is from RefSeq and is a predicted model, not a curated record. The transcript is spliced from 3 exons.
UACACAUAACGGUGGAGCUUUUCAUUGGAAUAAUGGAAAGUUUUUCGCAGUUGGAAAAAUAUAUUUGUCAGUCAAAUUUUUGUGGUUAACAGCGUGUGUGUAUGUGUCCGUGUAAAGUUAUUUUAACUUCAUUGAGACAUACGACCAGUUAAAAAGAAGGGAAAAGCUUCCAACACAUACGCACCACAACGACAUUGUACCUCUAACCGCGCUCGCGUAGGCAAUCUAUUCAACAAAGGGAAGAAGAAGACAAAUACUGCAUUGUGUGUGUGGUGUGCCUUUCGUAGUCACCGCCGCAGUUGCCAUAAGCAAGGAAAUCAAAUUUUGCGUUUAGUGUUUGGAAUCUUAAGCACUUCUUCACUUCUCUGCCUCCUCAUUUUGGCAUAAAGCCGCACAGUUUUUAAGAAAAAUGGCGGAUCCAGCACCAGCAUCUGAUGCUCCUCCAGCUGAUGGAGCACCAGCCGGUGAGGGUGGAGAUGGUGAGAUUGUUGGAGGACCACGUAAUCCCCAACAAAUUGCGGCACAAAAACGACUGCAACAAAC